UGGCAUUUUCCACACACAUACUGCUGGCGUUCUUUUCCUUUUUUUAGUCUUACCGAGGCCAUG
This 63-nucleotide non-coding RNA is filed under the name Heterosigma akashiwo. The record is from RNAcentral. Lineage: Eukaryota; Raphidophyceae; Chattonellales; Chattonellaceae.